CCCCACCCUUCUCAAGCAUUAUUUUAUAAUGUUUGGAUUUAUUUGGAGAGGCACCUCUGUCAUGGAGGUACCCUUCAGAAAUGAAUAUGGCAGUAUAGUUUAUAUCUAAACUAGGCGUAAUAAUAAUAAUAAAGUCGCUGGGUUUUAUCAUAUUUAUACUAGCCUGAACCCACCCAUUAUUGAAUC
This 186-nucleotide unclassified non-coding RNA is filed under the name uncultured Pezizaceae. RNAcentral describes it as "sequence contains ITS2". Lineage: Eukaryota; Fungi; Ascomycota; Pezizomycetes; Pezizales; Pezizaceae. The record is from RNAcentral.